UUGACUGACGUCAUUCACCAGUUUGGAUUAUCUGCAUCCUCUGGCUCUCUUACAAACAUCCACAUUGUCAUUAAACCUGGCUACCCGGAUUCUGAGGAGUGCUAUCACGAUGUCUACAAACAGCUCAGCUUAAUUAUGAACCAGGGAGGCCAAGCAAUCUUCAGGUCCCUCACCAGCGACCUAGAUGACAUCAUCAUAACAGUGG
This is a non-coding RNA of Neolamprologus brichardi, 205 nucleotides long. Lineage: Eukaryota; Metazoa; Chordata; Actinopteri; Cichliformes; Cichlidae. The record is from RefSeq and is a predicted model, not a curated record.